RNAcentral lists this unclassified non-coding RNA (323 nucleotides) under plant metagenome. Its description in RNAcentral is "partial contains 5.8S ribosomal RNA, internal transcribed spacer 2, and large subunit ribosomal RNA". The stretch from base 1 to 105 matches the Rfam family "5.8S ribosomal RNA", at positions 50 to 154 of the family's 154-position model. The record is from RNAcentral.
GAAAUGCGAUACGUAAUGUGAAUUGCAGAAUUCAGUGAAUCAUCGAGUCUUUGAACGCACAUUGCGCCCCCUGGUAUUCCGGGGGGCAUGCCUGUCCGAGCGUCAUUGCUGCCCUCAAGCACGGCUUGUGUGUUGGGCCCCCGUCCCCCCCCCAAGGGGACGGGCCCGAAAGGCAGCGGCGGCACCGUGUCCGGUCCUCGAGCGUAUGGGAAGCAACUUUUUGUCACCCGCUCCUGUAGGUCCGGUCGGCGGCCUGCCCAACCCCAACCUUUUUUUCAACCAGGUUGACCUCGGAUCAGGUAGGGAUACCCGCUGAACUUAAG